This 71-nucleotide transfer RNA is filed under the name Marmota marmota marmota (Alpine marmot). It matches the Rfam family "tRNA". Rfam says of the family: Transfer RNA (tRNA) molecules are approximately 80 nucleotides in length. Their secondary structure includes four short double-helical elements and three loops (D, anti-codon, and T loops). The record is from Rfam by way of RNAcentral. Lineage: Eukaryota; Metazoa; Chordata; Mammalia; Rodentia; Sciuridae. RNAcentral also lists the same sequence under 1 other name.
GAUGGUAUAGUUCAAUGGUAGAGCUUGUGCUUCGUAUGCAUGAGGCUCUGGGUUCAGAUCCAGCACCAUCA